UCCUGGUUAGCUCAGUUGGUAGAGCGCUCCACUGGAAAUUGUGAGGUCCCUGGUUCAAUAUCAGGACAAGGCG
RNAcentral lists this transfer RNA (73 nucleotides) under Ixodes scapularis (black-legged tick). It matches the Rfam family "tRNA". From Rfam's summary of the family: Transfer RNA (tRNA) molecules are approximately 80 nucleotides in length. Their secondary structure includes four short double-helical elements and three loops (D, anti-codon, and T loops). The record is from Rfam by way of RNAcentral. Lineage: Eukaryota; Metazoa; Arthropoda; Arachnida; Ixodida; Ixodidae.